RNAcentral lists this ribosomal RNA (576 nucleotides) under uncultured bacterium. Its description in RNAcentral is "bacterial SSU rRNA". It matches the Rfam family "Bacterial small subunit ribosomal RNA", at positions 102 to 674 of the family's 1533-position model. The record is from RNAcentral.
ACGGGUGAGUAAUGUCUGGGGAUCUGCCCGAUAGAGGGGGAUAACCACUGGAAACGGUGGCUAAUACCGCAUAACGUCGCAAGACCAAAGAGGGGGACCUUAGGGCCUCUCACUAUCGGAUGAACCCAGAUGGGAUUAGCUAGUAGGCGGGGUAACGGCCCACCUAGGCGACGAUCCCUAGCUGGUCUGAGAGGAUGACCAGCCACACUGGAACUGAGACACGGUCCAGACUCCUACGGGAGGCAGCAGUGGGGAAUAUUGCACAAUGGGCGCAAGCCUGAUGCAGCCAUGCCGCGUGUAUGAAGAAGGCCUUCGGGUUGUAAAGUACUUUCAGCGGGGAGGAAGGCGAUGUGGUUAAUAACCGCAUUGAUUGACGUUACCCGCAGAAGAAGCACCGGCUAACUCCGUGCCAGCAGCCGCGGUAAUACGGAGGGUGCGAGCGUUAAUCGGAAUUACUGGGCGUAAAGCGCACGCAGGCGGUCUGUUAAGUCAGAUGUGAAAUCCCCGGGCUUAACCUGGGAACUGCAUUUGAAACUGGCAGGCUUGAGUCUCGUAGAGGGGGGUAGAAUUCCAGGU